GUUAAUUUUUCAUCCUCUUCCUCCGCCUGUCGCUUCGUUGUUCUACUGCGGCGACCGCUGAAUUGAAAAAGAUCAUCCUUCUCGGCCUUUUUUCCUCUCUCUGUCCCCCCUUUUUUUGCGCUUUUUUUCGUGCCACGUGAUGCCCGAAAGAAUGCCCCCAAGAAGUACCCGACACGUACGUAUCAUUCGAAACAUACUGCGCUGGUUAAGAGAAACAGACAUAAAUCCAUUUCAAGCGACAGUACAUGAAACACGUUGCGCUGGGGGUUAAAGGAGACGGUGCCUUUGAUCCCGAUCGUCGUGGGUCUCCCCCAUCCAUCUGUUUCCUUUUCGGAAUGAUGAAAUCAUCCCGUCUCAAGUUUCGUCGCUUAACUUUCAUCAUUCGCCCGUGUUUAUUUUGCGUGUGUUUAUUUGUUUCGUCUUGGCCUGUGCAUUUAUCUACCAUUACGUCGGAGUCUCUUAUAUAAUCCGACAUUUUCACGCCACGCACAGUCAGCCAUCUUUAAGGGAUCUUCCUGCCUCCGCCAAGACUCUCCACAACUGACAGGGGAGUGACAAGCGAGUCAGAAGGGGUCUGCAUGUAUACUAGAACAACCACAGAGUUUGCUAGCAGGCACGGGUCAACGUGGGGGUCAAAAAGUGUCAACGUCUGUCACUCGCUUGACACUCAUCGUUGGCCUUUCUCUUCCGAUCGCUCUUCUCCAUCGUCAAACACGACCCAUGUAGCCCAAAGGAAGGAAAAGGAGAAUGGGAAUGGGUCGGCUGGAUUGGGGGCUGUUCGGAAUAGGUGGACUCGAAAGAAUUGCAUCGGUGCCUGCUGCUACAAGUCCACAAAGAGGCAAUGGGAAAAGAAAAAAAGAUGCACAUUUCACAGCUUGCUAUCAACAAACGAGUCAGCAGGAAGAAAGGUAAAAAAAUGAAAGAAAACCUAGAAAAGUAGAAUUUACUAGCUGCCAUUACCUACCCUACCAAACAGUUGGUUGGUUCCCCAUUUCCAUCCUACCCCAACACGCAGGGACACUCUUUCUCGCUCUGCUGGAACACAUACAUAUUUAUGGCGAUCCUGUUUACCGCUCCAAAUCGCAUAGCAAGUUGCAUCACUUUGAAAUUGGCUAGCUCUUCUACCGUUCCUUUUGGGUCUUUAUUUUGUUUCUUCUUCUCUUAUCGUUGUUCUCUUCUUUCUCAUAUCGACGGUAACGACAGGCCCUACUUGCCCCGUCAAGCAACCCGCAUUCACCUCCCCUUCGCCCCCCUACUUUUUUUUUUAUUCCAUCCUCUUAUUAUGUAUAGCACCUCGAUCUCGAGUGCGCCGACCCAUUCGGAGUCCUUUUCUCGUUUCUCGUUCCUAUACCAGCGUUCCUGCUGACAACAGCAAUUUGCACAUCAAAGUAGGUCGAUAACUCAAUUCCUCGACCGCAAUCAAUACGGCGGAGCUCCAAACGAGUAGCACGGCGUCAGUCAAUCUAAGUCUCUUUCUUUCGGUCGGCUGCCCUGUCAGCCUCUUGUCAUUGGAACACGUUAUCCCUUUCAUCGUGUGUAUGGCAUCGACCCGACUUAAUACCUCUUUAUACUGUGUCCACGUACUAUAUGUACUUGACUGUAUGCCACAAUUCGAGCAACAUUUUCAUGCCUCUAUUUUUCUGGCAUUGUAUUUUAUUUUUUUUCAUAUUUUAAACUCAUAUCGAUACGUCAGUCAUCCAUUCGGAGCGUUCGGUAGAAUGUGCGACCAAAUAGCAAAUAAACGUAGGGGACGAGAGAAAGAGAGAAAAAGACCAGUAGCUGUACACACAUUUGCUCACGUACGCAUGAGAGAGAAAGAGUAGCACAAGAAAUUGGGAAUCAGGGAGAAGCAGAAAGUCAAACACAUCGUUGAUAGUCAUAACUUGGAGGCCGCAGAGGGCAUAUCACAUGUGUAUCUCUUUCUCUUUCCAAACUCACAAAUAGGAAAAGCGGCUUCGAGAUCAAAGAAACCAUUGCAGCAUUCGUCGUUGUCGUCAAAGAAAAUCACAUCGUCCUAAAUCAGACGCUAGCAUCUAUUGAAGUCGCGCCAAUAGCGGAAAAUGCGAAAAAGCGGUACAUAUAUAGAGAAACGACUUGUGUUAAGAGACUCCGUUUUGCCAGUGAUCAAUACUCCCGUCUCAUAUAAAGCGCCGAAUCGGAUCCCUAUCAAACUGCGGCCGCCGAUGUCAACUGGCCUCUCCUCCGCCACCGUCCCUCCGCUCACCAACAAGCCAGUUUGUACGUCACAUCCGGUAAAAUUAGUGCGGCCUAGGCUUUUACGAAUUAUUGCGAGAAAGACGGCCCGUUUGACCACAUCGGAAAAAAGGGGAAUUUCCACAUAGACACCAAGUCAUUCUUCAUGUUGUACAUGUCCCCCCUUCAAC
Molecule: long non-coding RNA, 2384 nt
Organism: Daphnia magna
Lineage: Eukaryota; Metazoa; Arthropoda; Branchiopoda; Diplostraca; Daphniidae
Exons: 3
Source: RefSeq, a predicted model, not a curated record